Molecule: unclassified non-coding RNA, 300 nt
Filed under: plant metagenome
Description: partial contains 5.8S ribosomal RNA, internal transcribed spacer 2, and large subunit ribosomal RNA
Rfam family: 5.8S ribosomal RNA (bases 1-105)
Source: RNAcentral
GAAAUGCGAUAAGUAAUGUGAAUUGCAGAAUUCAGUGAAUCAUCGAAUCUUUGAACGCACAUUUCGCCCCCUGGUAUUCCGGGGGGCAUGCCUGUUCGAGCGUCAUUUCACCACUCAAGCCUCGCUUGGUAUUGGGCGACGCGGUCCGCCGCGCGCCUCAAAUCGACCGGCUGGGUCUUUCGUCCCCUCAGCGUUGUGGAAACUAUUCGCUAAAGGGUGCCGCGGGAGGCCACGCCGUAAAACAACCCCAUUUUCUAAGGUUGACCUCGGAUCAGGUAGGGAUACCCGCUGAACUUAAGC